UACGUAGGGGGCUAGCGUUGUCCGGAUUUAUUGGGCGUAAAGAGCGUGUAGGCGGCCAGGUAUGGCUGCUGUGAAAACUCGAGGCUCAACCUCGAGACGUCGGCGGAAACCAUCUGGCUAGAGUCCGGAAGAGGAGAGUGGAAUUCCUGGUGUAGCGGUGAAAUGCGCAGAUAUCAGGAAGAACACCAAUGGCGAAGGCAGCUCUCUGGGACGGUACUGACGCUGAGACGCGAAAGCGUGGGGAGCGAACAGG
This 253-nucleotide ribosomal RNA is filed under the name uncultured bacterium. RNAcentral's name for it is "partial 16S ribosomal RNA". It matches the Rfam family "Bacterial small subunit ribosomal RNA", at positions 524 to 776 of the family's 1533-position model. The record is from RNAcentral.